This 433-nucleotide ribosomal RNA is filed under the name uncultured bacterium. RNAcentral's name for it is "partial 16S ribosomal RNA". It matches the Rfam family "Bacterial small subunit ribosomal RNA", at positions 29 to 507 of the family's 1533-position model. The record is from RNAcentral.
AACGAACGCUGGCGGCAUGCCUAACACAUGCAAGUCGAACGAGACCUUCGGGUCUAGUGGCGCAGGGGUGCGUAACGCGUGGGAACCUGCCCUUAGGUUCGGAAUAACUCCCCGAAAGGGGUGCUAAUACCGGAUAAUGUCUUCGGACCAAAGAUUUAUCGCCUUUGGAUGGGCCCGCGUUGGAUUAGCUAGUUGGUAGGGUAAAAGCAUACCAUGGCGACGAUCCCUAGCUGGUCUGAGAGGAUGAUCAGCCACACUGGGACUAAGACACGGACCAGAAUCCUACGGGAGGCAGCGGUGGGGAAUAUUGGACAAUGGGCGAAAGCGUGAUACAGCAGUGCCGCGUGAGUGAUGAAGGCCUUAGGGUUGUAAAGCUCUUUUACCCGGGAUGAUAAUGACAGUACCGGGAGAAUAAGCACCGGCUAACUCCGUG